GACGAACGCUGGCGGCGUGCUUAACACAUGCAAGUCGAACGGAAAGGCCCUGCUUUUGUGGGGUGCUCGAGUGGCGAACGGGUGAGUAACACGUGAGUAACCUGUCCUUGACUUUGGGAUAACUUCAGGCAACUGGGGCUAAUACCGGAUAGGAGUUCCUGCUGCAUGGUGGGGGUUGGAAAGUUUCGGUGGUUGGGGAUGGACUCGCGGCUUAUCAGCUUGUUGGUGGGGUAGUGGCUUACCAAGGCUUUGACGGGUAGCCGGCCUGAGAGGGUGACCGGCCACAUUAGGACGGGGAUACGGCCCGGACUCCUACGGGAGGCAGCGGUGGGGAAUAUUGCACAAUGGGCGGAGGCCUGAUGCAGCAACGCCGCGUGCGGGAUGACGGCCUUCGGGUUGUAAACCGCUUUCGCCUGUGACGAAGCGUGAGUGACGGUAAUGGGUAAAGAAGCACCGGCUAACUACGUG
Molecule: ribosomal RNA, 468 nt
Filed under: uncultured bacterium
Lineage: Bacteria
Description: partial 16S ribosomal RNA
Rfam family: Bacterial small subunit ribosomal RNA
Source: RNAcentral